UUUUUAGAAAUGUUCAGUAAACGACACAAGUUUUCCCGAUGUACUCCGGGUUUUACAUCAGUGUUGUUUGCAACGCCGUAUCCUUCAAUUUCAUUGAAGACAUCAAGCGAACAUAAACUUGAACGGUGUAUGAUGUGCUUGCAAAAGUAAAAAAACAACGUACAUAAACGCCAACGUGUACAUAGAGAUUUUCAUUGAAAAGGUGUACUCCGGAAUUAUUCCGCUUUUGACUCCAUUUUAUAUUUUUAUUUGAGCUCUCUACGUUUGAGGUAGCAAAGAAAAGGUUGAAAAGCAUUUUAAUUUGAGGAUAUUCCAACCUGAAGCAAGUUGUACCAAUGUUAAUGAUGGAAGACCCUGUUAGAAUACUGUGCAUACCUGGGGCUAAAACUUAAUCAAAGAUGACCUAUGCUGAAGUGGUGAGACUUGCUAUGCAGGUAACAGGAGACCAAACUGAGACCACCUUUGAUAUAAAGUGUAUAGAAAUGAAGAAAUCAAUGGGAGCCCCUGCCAAAAGGAGGAGUGUUGUUACAGAAUAUAAGUUCCCAAUGAAACAGGGUAUAGAUGAGUGAUCUAGUGUUUGAGUUCACUGAGGAUGUGGCUGUCAUCCUAACAAACAAAGGUUUACAUAGUAUUUAUCAGGCAACAUUCAGACAGUCAGAUAUUCUACAUUUCGGAUACGGAAUAAAGAAAUUGCUGUUGAGGAAGAGAGAAGUUUCUGUGACGAGAUUGAUACACAUAGAGCAUUUGAGUGUAAUGAAGUUGUGAGU
Mytilus trossulus (common blue mussel) is the source of this 767-nucleotide long non-coding RNA. RefSeq lists it as uncharacterized. The transcript is spliced from 7 exons. NCBI's taxonomy places the organism in Eukaryota, Metazoa, Mollusca, Bivalvia, Mytilida, Mytilidae. The record is from RefSeq and is a predicted model, not a curated record.